RNAcentral lists this long non-coding RNA (2077 nucleotides) under Salmo salar (Atlantic salmon). Its description in RNAcentral is "lncRNA (ENSSSAG00000097221.1)". Lineage: Eukaryota; Metazoa; Chordata; Actinopteri; Salmoniformes; Salmonidae. The record is from RNAcentral.
CACCAGUACUCGUUACAUUUUUAAUGCUUAACAGGACAGGAAAAUAUACAAGUCACACAGUUAUCAAGAGAACCCCCACUGGUCAUCCAUACUGCCUCUGAGCUGACGGACUCACUAAACACACAAUUUGUAAAUUAUGUCCGAGUGUUGGAGUGUGCUCCUGGUGAGCCAUGAAUAACAAAAUGGCACCGUCUGGUUUGCUUAAAGGAAUUAAAAGUUACUUAUACUUUUGAUAAGUAUCGUGAUCGCAUUGCAACACUGACAUAUCUUCUUGGAGUUCUAUAAUGUAACACAGUAAUAAGAAGCCCAGAAAACAUUUUUAUUUCACAGAAGCAAGGUGUAAAAGGAAUAUAAAAUGUGAGGUAUUUCAGUAUUCUGUGAAAUGCUACAGACCCACACAUUGGAUUAAUUAAACAUGUCACUAAAUACAAUAGAAAGUGUGUUGGAACAAAAGCAGUCUAAUAGACAUUGUUAAACUAACGUUGAAAAAAUAUAUAUAAUAAUUUCAAAACUAACAGGUAAAAACUGAAGCCUUCAAACAGCAAAACCCAUCUUCAACAAACAUGAAACUACUGAAAGAAAGUCACGUUUGCAUUGUCAUUAAAGUUCAGGCAUAUAAACGAUAUCAAUGUUACCAGUUGAUGCGUCCCAUUCAGCCAAAUAUGAUCUCAAAACCACCAGUACAUAAAAAUUUGACCUUUACAUAAAAGUAAAACAUUUGGCAGUGAUCAUAAAAUAGUAGAGCCACACAAACAAACCUGUAAACAGCUACAGAGCAGCUCUACUUGGCUGGUAACCUCACAAGAGAAGAGUGAGAUAAAGUUAAGUCUACGAAAAUAAAUGACAACCAAGUAAAAACAUACUUCAAGAAGCAUGAAACUUAAGCAUGAAUAUAAAUGUGUAUGUCAUUUAUCAUAUAAAUGUGAUUGUAACAAAUAAAUAAAAUCAUCCUCUCAAUCAAAACAUCCUAUAACUUGAAAUGAGUUAUUCUGCUUGCCUCGUCAUAAAUAACAUGGAAGAAAAGGGGGAGCUUUGCUUCCGAUGCCGUUCCCGCCAUUCAUAGGGACAAUGGAAUUCCUGAAUGAUGCCGUGGUGUGGGACAAUUAAUGUUUGAACAGCUCUACAGAAGGGGGACCUCAGGGGUAGUUGGGGGGAGGGGGGGGCAUGGGAAGUAAAAAAAAAUAUAUAUUUUUUAAAGUUAGUGCAACAGGAGGCCCUGUAUCACUUAUUGACUGACUGCUGACCCAUCCCCCGUUGUUCUGAAUUCCAAGAGGACAAUUCUGAAUUGCAAGCAGGCCAGAGAGAGCCUGGUGCGUCAGUGUCAUAUCAUGGUGGUGUAAUGGCUGACUGUUGGUCAUUGCAGUGGAGCCAAGUGUUUGUCAGUCUUCAGAAGGAGGAGUGUAAGUCGGAGUCCUCCCCUUGGUCUUGGUCUUCUGGUUGUCUUCCAGCAUGAGGAACCUCUUGAGGUGGGACAAGGCAGACUUCUUCACACUGGCGGGCUUGGAGGCCAAGGAGGAACUGGUGGUCUCAGAGGAUAUCGACCUGGAAAUAGUAAUGUCAGAAUCUACACACUGACACAGAUUAAAGGUGACCUAUUGAAAAGUGUAGGACCACACAGUGUCCAUCAGUUUAUUGAUAUCAUCCAUUGCCCUCACUUCUCAAGAAGUCCCUUAAAGGCUGCUUUUCACCUAGCUGAGAUGUAGACUAUAUAAAUAAAAUAGAUGACAAUGUAGGUACCAGAGGCCUGCUAUUGUUUGUUUACCUUGGCAUACUGCAGGGUGUCUUGUCAUUGGGGGCAGACUUUGGCAUGCCUAUGGCAUUGGUUCUGUUGGUGGACUGGGGACUGUUGCGUUUUCCUGUGCUCCCGUGGUUCUUGGAGAGAGCGGCCAUGAAGUCCCUGUUGACAGCGUUGUGCCUGGACGUGUUGUUAUAGGUGUGGCAGGUAGUCAUACUGCUGCGGAGGGUCUAGACUAGUCUAACAGAUGGCGGAGUAGUUUCUCUGAACCAGUUGACAGAAGUUCUCAAAGUAAAGUUUCGCUGAACCAGUGUAUUAAACAAGCAGGAGCUUCUCUCUAGC